CUGGAAAGUCCGACGGUACAGGGUGAUAGUCCCGUACACCAAAAUGCACAGGUUGUGAACUCGAAGAGUAGGGCGGGACACGUGGUAUCCUGUCUGAAUAUGGGGGGACCAUCCUCCAAGGCUAAAUACUCCUGACUGACCGAUAGUGAACCAGUACCGUGAGGGAAAGGCGAAAAGAACCCCGGCGAGGGGAGUGAAAAAGAACCUGAAACCGUGUACGUACAAGCAGUGGGAGCCUCUUUAUGGGGUGACUGCGUACCUUUUGUAUAAUGGGUCAGCGACUUAUAUUCUGUAGCAAGGUUAACCGUAUAGGGGAGCCGAAGGGAAACCGAGUCUUAACUGGGCGUUAAGUUGCAGGGUAUAGACCCGAAACCCGGUGAUCUAGCCAUGGGCAGGUUGAAGGUUGGGUAACACUAACUGGAGGACCGAACCGACUAAUGUUGAAAAAUUAGCGGAUGACUUGUGGCUGGGGGUGAAAGGCCAAUCAAACCGGGAGAUAGCUGGUUCUCCCCGAAAGCU
This 519-nucleotide ribosomal RNA is filed under the name Citrobacter freundii. RNAcentral's name for it is "partial 23S ribosomal RNA". It matches the Rfam family "Bacterial large subunit ribosomal RNA", at positions 342 to 867 of the family's 2925-position model. The record is from RNAcentral. Lineage: Bacteria; Pseudomonadati; Pseudomonadota; Gammaproteobacteria; Enterobacterales; Enterobacteriaceae.